AUAUAUUAGGUGUCGAUGACUUAAUAGGGAAUUAGAUUAAAAGUCUAAGCUACCCCAGUAACCGUAAUACUGACGAAAUCUUAUAUACCACUGAGUAAUCGGGAAGGUAAGAAAGUAGAGUGAAGUUGAGCCGGGAGAACUGCCUAAUAUUUA
This 153-nucleotide non-coding RNA is filed under the name uncultured Romboutsia sp. The record is from RNAcentral. Lineage: Bacteria; Bacillati; Bacillota; Clostridia; Peptostreptococcales; Peptostreptococcaceae.